GGAUGCGAUCAUACCAGCACUAAAGCACCAGAUCCCAUCAAAACUCUGUAGUUAAGCGUGCUUGGGCGAGAGUAGUACUAGGAUGGGUGACCUCCUGGGAAGUCCUUGUGUUGUAGUCC
Molecule: ribosomal RNA, 119 nt
Filed under: Triticum aestivum (bread wheat)
Lineage: Eukaryota; Viridiplantae; Streptophyta; Magnoliopsida; Poales; Poaceae
Also listed under: 1 other name
Source: RNAcentral